CGAUGAAAGCAGUAGUGAGGGGAUAUUGUCUAGUCACAGAGACCUUUCACACACAGUGAACACUUUCGUGCACAGGGGAUACUGUAGGACUCCAUCUGUGGCCAUGCGGAAGUGGACUUACUGCCUGUCCUUGGUCUUGGUCUCAGUAUCUUUAGUGUUGGCCUCUCGUGAGUACCACUAUAUCAUUGACCCCAAGACAUGGACCGAAGCCCAGACCAACUGCAGAGAGAAGUACACUGAUCUGGCCACCAUCAGGGACAAAGAAGAGAUGCAGAGAUUAAACAAACUCAGCUUAACCCACAACAGCAACAGAGCG
Long non-coding RNA from Alosa sapidissima (American shad), 316 nucleotides. RefSeq lists it as uncharacterized. The record is from RefSeq and is a predicted model, not a curated record. NCBI's taxonomy places the organism in Eukaryota, Metazoa, Chordata, Actinopteri, Clupeiformes, Clupeidae. The transcript is spliced from 3 exons.